GACCGAAUAUAGGUGAUAAACUGUAAAUUUAUUUAUGAAAUUAUAUUUCUUUUGCCA
This 57-nucleotide transfer RNA is filed under the name Distenia punctulatoides. RNAcentral describes it as "tRNA-Tyr". Lineage: Eukaryota; Metazoa; Arthropoda; Insecta; Coleoptera; Cerambycidae. The record is from RNAcentral.